UAUUGGACAAUGGGGGCAACCCUGAUCCAGCCAUGCCGCGUGAGUGAAGAAGGCCUUCCGCCCUGUAAAGCUCUUUCGACGGGGACGAUGAUGACGGUACCCGUAUAAGAAGCCCCGGCAAACUUCGUGCCAGCAGCCGCGGUAAUACGAAGGGGGCUAGCGUUGUUCGGAAUUACUGGGCGUAAAGCGCGCGUAGGCGGUGAUCCAUGUCAGAGGUGAAAGCCCGGGGCUCAACUCCGGAAUUGCCUUUGAAACGGGAUCGCUAGAGUCCGAGAGAGGAUGGCGGAAUUCCUAGUGUAGAGGUGAAAUUCGUAGAUAUUAGGAAGAACACCGGUGGCGAAGGCGGCCAUCGGCUCGGUACUGACGUCAGGCGCGAAA
This 378-nucleotide ribosomal RNA is filed under the name uncultured bacterium. RNAcentral's name for it is "bacterial SSU rRNA". It matches the Rfam family "Bacterial small subunit ribosomal RNA", at positions 362 to 758 of the family's 1533-position model. The record is from RNAcentral.